RNAcentral lists this ribosomal RNA (550 nucleotides) under uncultured archaeon. RNAcentral describes it as "bacterial SSU rRNA". It matches the Rfam family "Archaeal small subunit ribosomal RNA", at positions 329 to 879 of the family's 1478-position model. The record is from RNAcentral.
GGUGCAGCAGGCGCGAAAACUUUACAAUGCGGGAAACCGUGAUAAGGGGACACCGAGUGCCAGCAUCAUAUGCUGGCUGUCCAGGUGCGUAAAAUACACCUGUCAGCAAGGGCCGGGCAAGACCGGUGCCAGCCGCCGCGGUAACACCGGCGGCCCGAGUGGUGAUCGUGAUUAUUGGGUCUAAAGGGUCCGUAGCCGGUUUGGUCAGUCCUCCGGGAAAUCUGACGGCUCAACCGUUAGGCUUUCGGGGGAUACUGCCAGGCUUGGAACCGGGAGAGGUAAGAGGUACUACAGGGGUAGGAGUGAAAUCUUGUAAUCCCUGUGAGACCACCUGUGGCGAAGGCGUCUUACCAGAACGGGUUCGACGGUGAGGGACGAAAGCUGGGGGCACGAACCGGAUUAGAUACCCGGGUAGUCCCAGCCGUAAACGAUGCUCGCUAGGUGUCAGGCAUGGCGCGACCGUGUCUGGUGCCGCAGGGAAGCCGUGAAGCGAGCCACCUGGGAAGUACGGCCGCAAGGCUGAAACUUAAAGGAAUUGGCGGGGGAGCAC